UACGUAGGGGGCAAGCGUUGUCCGGAUUUAUUGGGCGUAAAGAGCGUGUAGGCGGUUAUGCAGGUCCGCUGUGAAAACUGGAGGCUUAACCUCCAGACGUCGGUGGAAACCGUAUGACUAGAGUCCGGAAGAGGAGAGUGGAAUUCCUAGUGUAGCGGUGAAAUGCGCAGAUAUCAGGAAGAACACCCGUGGCGAAGGCGGCUCUCUGGGACGGUACUGACGCUGAGACGCGAAAGCGUGGGGAGCGAACAGG
Molecule: ribosomal RNA, 253 nt
Filed under: uncultured bacterium
Lineage: Bacteria
Description: partial 16S ribosomal RNA
Rfam family: Bacterial small subunit ribosomal RNA
Source: RNAcentral